This 1177-nucleotide ribosomal RNA is filed under the name Micrococcus luteus. Its description in RNAcentral is "bacterial LSU rRNA". It matches the Rfam family "Bacterial large subunit ribosomal RNA", at positions 638 to 1713 of the family's 2925-position model. The record is from RNAcentral. Lineage: Bacteria; Bacillati; Actinomycetota; Actinomycetes; Micrococcales; Micrococcaceae.
UGCCAGGGUUAACCCGUGUGGGGAAGCCGUAGCGAAAGCGAGUCUGAAUAGGGCGAUUGAGUCGCGUGUCCUAGACCCGAAGCGGAGUGAUCUACCCAUGGCCAGGUUGAAGCGCGUGUAAGAACGCGUGGAGGACCGAACCCACUUCAGUUGAAAAUGGAGGGGAUGAGUUGUGGGUAGGGGUGAAAGGCCAAUCAAACUCCGUGAUAGCUGGUUCUCCCCGAAAUGCAUUUAGGUGCAGCGUCACGUGUUUCUUCCCGGAGGUAGAGCUACUGGAUGGACGAUGGGCCCUACAAGGCUACUGACUUCAGCCAAACUCCGAAUGCCGGGAAGUGAGAGCGUGGCAGUGAGACUGUGGGGGAUAAGCUUCAUAGUCGAGAGGGAAACAGCCCAGACCACCGGUUAAGGCCCCUAAGCGUGUGCUAAGUGGGAAAGGAUGUGGAGUUGCUGAGACAACCAGGAGGUUGGCUUAGAAGCAGCCACCCUUGAAAGAGUGCGUAAUAGCUCACUGGUCAAGUGAUUCCGCGCCGACAAUGUAGCGGGGCUCAAGUACACCGCCGAAACCGUGGCAUUCAGUUUUGCUGGAUGGGUAGGGGAGCGUCGUUCACGAGGUGAAGCCAGCGGGUAACUUCUGGUGGAUUGUGGACGAGUGAGAAUGCAGGCAUGAGUAGCGAAAGACGGGUGAGAAACCCGUCCGCCGGAUGACUAAGGGUUCCAGGGUCAAGCUAAUCUGCCCUGGGUAAGUCGGGACCUAAGGCGAGGCCGACAGGCGUAGUCGAUGGACAACGGGUUGAUAUUCCCGUACCAGUGAAGAACCGCCCAUGCUGAGCCGGUGAUACUAACCGCCCGAACCAUCCCGAACCUCGUCUUUGACGGGGUCGGUGAUGGGGAGCGCGGGACCUGAACCGGGGAGGCAAGCGCAUUAACAGGUGUGACGCAGGAAGGUAGCCGGGCCGGGCAAUGGAAAUGACCUGGUCUAAGGGUGUAGGGCUGCCGGUAGGUAAAUCCGCCGGCUGUAUGCCUGAGACCUGAUGGGCGCCCACAUGGUGGGUGAUCCGGUGAUCCUAUGCUGCCUAGAAAAGCAUCGGCGCGAGGUUCAAACUGCCCGUACCCUAAACCGACACAGGUGGUCAGGUAGAGAAUACUAAGGCGAUCGAGAGAAUCAUGGUUAAGGAAC